This 2600-nucleotide long non-coding RNA is filed under the name Helianthus annuus (common sunflower). RNAcentral's name for it is "hypothetical non coding rna". Lineage: Eukaryota; Viridiplantae; Streptophyta; Magnoliopsida; Asterales; Asteraceae. The record is from RNAcentral.
GUUUGGUCUGGACGUGCGAACGAGAGAAGGAACCAAGGGAACCAAAACCCUAAACAACCUAAAAUCAUCAAAUUGAAAGGGGGAUCGAGGGCUGAUUGAAUGCAUGAGUCUAGAUACCCUUUAAUCUAAGUGUAUUGAUCAUAAGGAACGUGUCAAGGAGAGCUCAAGCAUAGGAGGAUAACGGGUCAAGAUAAGGCAAGGUGACAAAUACACUUAUUGGAAUACUCAAGGUAAGUGAUUUCUAUAAUCACUUCUUUAGUUGUUUAAGUAAUAUAAUGUUUUAAUUAUUAAGUUCAUAUGAAGUUGAGGUUAAAUCAAUGGAUUAUUUUGAUAAAUGCACGAAUGGGUCGAAUAAUUCAUAGAUGAAUAACAAGCCGAAUACGUAUAAGUUAAGGAAUUCCUUAACUCGGAUGCUGGACUUCAAGAUCACGUGAUAGAAUAUUAAAUUACAAUCAUAUAGGAAGAAACGUGACGCAAAACGGACGAAAAAUGAGAGAGUUAUGUCCGUUUCAGUAAGGAUUAAUGGCUAGGAAAAGUGCAGAGUUGACACGGCCGGGUGGUGAACUGACACGGCCGGGUGAAGGUUCUGUCAAAAAUAUUAUUUAUGUGAUUUAUGCGCCGUAGGCUUCGGUAUAUUAUCCGUGAACUACGACGGGCCUCCCAAACAUGAUGUCGAGUGUUUCCUUGAUGAUUAUAAGUUGUAAACCCAAGUCUAAGCCUCAUGUAAUUUAUAUAAGAGUGUGAUAGAUGUAUGUAAUGAAGUUGGACAUGUAUUACAUGUAAAUGUAUACAAAAAUACGUACGGAACACGUAGGUAUGAAUACAUGAUUGUAAGUAUGAUUAAAUGUAUAUUAGGUAUGUAGAUGUGUAUGAUUGUAAGUUUGUAUGUGUGCAAGUAUGUGCGAAUGCAUGAUUCGGAUGCAUUUGAGAAUUAGCGUUACUAAUAAUGCCCUUGGGUUUGGAAUAUAAGUUGAUUGGAUGCAUUUAAAUGGUUAACGUCCUUUUUAUGAAGAUGUAGUAAAUGAAUAUGUUGAGAUUACGGGUUUGGCUAACCAAGUUAUUAUUGAGUAUGUUUGAAAGUGCAGGUGAUGAAUGUCGGACUUUCGAAGUGUUGAUAUAAUAAUGAAACGGUUGAAUGUUGAAAGGAUAAUCGGACUGAAGUAACUUAUGCGGUAAAUCCUCAAUUUUGGCGACUUGGAGAAUCGGAGCGAGCGCGUGUUCGUGUUAUGCGAUACCAAACGCUUCCGCUAGUUUGUUCAAAUGUUUUUGACCCAAAAUUUGUUGUAUUGGUUUUUAGUAGUAUCUUGUUGAACGAAUUGUAGAAUUGUAUCUAGUUUGUUUAUGUUUAAAACAGGGGUAUGCUCGUUUUAUGGACGGGUCAUGCCCGAUUUUUUGUUAAAUUAUAGUUUGAUAAUAUCACAUUUAGGAAGGUGAAAUUUUGGGCGUAACAUCUUCAGAAACGAAAAUGAACUAACGGAGUCAUUUUCAACGGUUGCUUCAUCAGAGUUGGAAAUGAAGGUUUACACAACGGAUAUUCAUUUCCUCAACGGGUAAAUCUUCAGAAACGAAAAUGAACUAACGGAGUCAUUUUCAACGGUUGCUUCCUCAGAGUUGGAAAUGAAGGAUUACACAACGGAUAUUCAUUUCCUCAACGGAUAAUCUUCAGAAACGAAAAUGAACUAACGGAGUCAUCUUCAACGGUUGCUUCCUCAGAGUUGGAAAUGAAGGAUUACACAACGGAUAUUCAUUUCCUCAACGGAUAAAUCUUCAGAAACGAAAAUGAGCUAACGGAGUCAUCUUCAACGGUUGCUUCCUCAGAGUUGGAAAUGAAGGAUUACACAACGGAUAUUCAUUUCCUCAACGGAUAAUCUUCAGAAACGAAAAUGAACAAACGGGGUCAUCUUCAACGGGUAUUCUUCAGAUUUGGAAAUGAAGGAUAAACGGAUAUUCAUUUCCUCAACGGAUAAAUCUUCAGAACGAAAAUGAACAAACGGAGUCAUUUUCCUCAACGAGUAUUCUUCAGAUUUGGAAAUGAAGGAUAAACGGAUAUUCAUUUCCUCAACGGAUAUUCUUCAGAAGUGAAAAAUGAAUAGCUAGUUCAUUUUUCCUCAACGGAUGCUUCAUCAGAAUUGGAAAUGAAUAGGGUUAACUCUAGACACAUGACAGAACUUGCUGUGAUUUCUGUGCACUAAAUUCCAUAAUUAUGUAUGCAUCCAUAAUUACGUAAUCCCUUGCACAGUCCGCACAGUUUGUUUUGUAAUGUUUUGGGGAAGGAUAUCAAACUUGUGACGAGGGUGACUAGACUUCCAUCGGUUCCUUUUAAUUAGAUCGACAGGGGAUCCUCUUGGUUAGGCCACCAAGGAGUCCUUUCAGCUAUAUCAUCACAUGAUAUCCCUAACCAGAUUUUUGGAUGAAUCUGUUUAGCUAGACCACUCAAGGGGUCUAAUUAUGAAGUAGUACUUUAUAAUCCGAGGGACUUAACUAUAACAUAGAAGUCCAUUGAGGAUUUCUAAGUAAUACCUUUGGGCAUCCUACUAUGAAUCUCUUGUACACGGAUAUGUAAGAUUCUACGAAGAUUUGGAUAACAUAAUUUGGAUCAC